AUAGCUCAGUUGGUAGAGCAGUAGACUGAAAAUCUACGUGUCCUUGGUUCAAUUCCGAGU
RNAcentral lists this transfer RNA (60 nucleotides) under Eubacterium pyruvativorans. RNAcentral describes it as "tRNA_Phe_GAA". It matches the Rfam family "tRNA", at positions 7 to 64 of the family's 71-position model. Rfam says of the family: Transfer RNA (tRNA) molecules are approximately 80 nucleotides in length. Their secondary structure includes four short double-helical elements and three loops (D, anti-codon, and T loops). The record is from RNAcentral. Lineage: Bacteria; Bacillati; Bacillota; Clostridia; Eubacteriales; Eubacteriaceae.